RNAcentral lists this long non-coding RNA (2857 nucleotides) under Triticum aestivum (bread wheat). Its description in RNAcentral is "long non-coding RNA (TAES_LNC019548)". The stretch from base 351 to 485 matches the Rfam family "MIR1120/MIR1122 microRNA precursor family". The record is from RNAcentral. Lineage: Eukaryota; Viridiplantae; Streptophyta; Magnoliopsida; Poales; Poaceae.
GAGUGCAAAAAUAUCAGAGAUGAAACGAAAAAGAUCAAAACAGAGAGGGGGAGGAGAAACCUAGGUAAGGUCGGAGGAGGGAUGCGUCAGAACCUUAUGUAGGAAGUAGAGAUAAUGACGUAAAUAUAAUUAAUACUACAAUCACGGAGUCCUGAAAGUCGCAUGUUAUUGCAUUACCGCUGCACAUCAUCAAUAUAUACAUUACCAUGACGGCACAGAAACAGGAAGCGAGUGAGUCAGAUCCGAAACACAGCAUGAUCGUGUCCACAACGCGCACGACACAACCGUAAACGUGUCAUACAAUAUCAAGGGGCAUUACAGGUUCGCAGAUGCAAGGCCGGGUGGCUUCUCUACUACUCCCUCCGUCCCAAAAUUCUUGUCUUAGAUUCAUCUAGAUACGGAUAUAUCUAAUACUAAAACGUGAUUUGAUACAUCCGUAUUUAAACAAAUCUAAGACAAGAAUUUUGGGACGGAGGGAGUACAUUACUCCAGGCCCAGGCCAAUGCUAGCCUGUCAAGUCGACGGCGCUAUCAGCUCAUCCAGGCCUUCUUCUUGAAGCCCUGCACAGAUGAUGUUAUACGCAGUUGUGAGCAGGUAAAUUUGGAACUUUAAACCUAUACGAACUUGUGCUGGAGAUCAUAAAAAGCUCUCCUACUCAACCCAGUGGCGCAUGUUCAAAUCACCAGAGGGCGCCACGUUUUUCGAUGGUGGAAGACCUGCAAUUCUACUCCUGAUAGGAAUAUCCUAGUAAGAACAAAGAACAAACGGGGCAUCUAAUCUAAUUGGGGGCACAUACAGUCUGUUGGGGUUGCCACAUCAUUUGUUUUGCUCAAAAGGCUGCAUAACCAUUUGAAAAUCCGCAACUAGUUUGACCAUCUAGAAAAGAAAAAAAAGAAUUACUAGCACCCAAAACAUCGAAUCUACUCCCUCCGUUUCUAAAUAUAAGUCUUUUUACAGAUUUCAAUAGGGACUACAUACGGAUGUAUAUAGACAUAUUUAGAGUGUAGAUUCACUCAUUUUGCUCCGUAUGUAGUCCAUAUUAGAAUCUCUAAAAAGACUUAUAUUUAGGAACAGAGGUAUAUUAUUAUUAGACUUGUCGUGAAAUAUAUUUUCAUAAUAUAUUGCUAUUUUUAUGCGAGACAAGAUGUUUGCGCAGAGUUCGAUGGUCAAAGUACCAUAUCAAAGACCCUGUCAAUGUCCUAAAAAGCCUACGUUUUGAUUGGAGGAACUAGUUAACAUAGCAAGUUGCUCUGGACAUUCUUAUCUACUAAGAUAAGAGAAUUUAUUAAUACGUCAAGUUUCGUAUUACAGACAGCAGAGAAUCAAUAUAAACCUUUUCCAAACGUAUGCAAAAAAUCUAUAGAAUACAAAAUUAUGCUCCUGCAUAUAUAUUCAAGAAAAGUAAAGUAGAACAAAAUACCUUUUUGACAUCUGAACAUAUAUCUUCAACCCUCUUCUCUGUCUGCUUUGCAUAAGACCAUGCUUUGUGUAUAUUAGAUUCCAUCUUUUUUGAUAUAUCAAUUACACUUUGAACCUACAAUUAUAGUCCACUGAUUAGAAUUUCAACCUCUAAGCAAAAUAACAGUAAGAUGGCCAGCUGAAAACAGCUUUCAGAAAGGGCUGCACCUGCACCCACAAUUAGUUGCAAAUUCUAGUUCUCCGCAGUCUAACCACAUGCAAGUCCAUGUACUGUAUAAUACCCAUGAAUAGUUCCAAAUAAAACCUUCUAGCAAGAUAACUAUGUGGCAACUGCAAACAGGUACAGGUAGAAACAUAGGCAUUUACAUCCACUUGUACUUUGUAAUCGUCAUUGCUUCUUGGUACAUAAUAAAUAAUAUAAGAAAACUGGACAUCUUUGAUUGUACCAAAAGAAACUUGUCAGAUCAAAACUCAACACUGGGGUGAUAGAUAUGAAAUGCUACUACACUCACUGCUGCUACAAGUAAUAACCAAACAACAGUUGUUGCACCGUGCUUAUCCACCGAUCCGAUAUCCAGCAAAUCUAACAGCAGCCACAGCCAGCCAAACCAGACUCGCCGAAACCAGAAAAACCAAACAUCCAAAGGGUGUAUGACUACGUUACCCAGAUACGGUGAAUUCCUACAAACCAAGUGGCCCCUAAAAUGAGCAUCUCCAUGGAGGACCUCAAAGGGUGACUGCUCACUGCUGCUAAAUGCAUGGUUGAGAAAGGAGUCAGGUGGCUGAUCAUCCUCACAAUCUGGCGGCUCUGAAAACUCAGGAAUGCAUGUUUCUUUGAUGCGGUAACACCGCAUGUUCACUCGGUCGUUGGGGUCAUUGCAAAUGAUGCUCAGAUCUGGAUGUUGGCUGGAACGUCGCUUAUGGCUCACCUCUCCAUGCACUGUCUUUUUGGCAGUUCCGGCUGCCUAUUUUUUGGCUUAUAAUUAGUCUUGCCUCUUUCUUUUGUCGUCUGGUUGUGGUUUUGCUUUGUUUCAGCUGCCUGCCACUGUUGUUGGUUUCUAUUCUGCGCAUUCUUUGGUGUCCUAAUACGUAAACGAGGCACACUUAGGUGCAUGUUCAAGGAAUGAGCUCUUAAAUUCCCAAUGUGAACUCACCACACCUUCUUUGGUGUUCUUUUUCUAACACACAAUGAAGUGCAUUUAGCAGCACAUUCAACAAAAAGAACUCUUAAAUUUACAAUGUGUGCUCAUCAUGAGAAAUGCUAAAGAAAAAUAAUGAGUAGGGGCUAGAACAUUCACAGUGGUCAUACAUUCUAUCUUAGAAGUUUCUUUUGGCUAAAGAAGAUAAGACAAUGAUCUAAACUUUCUUGUCUACCAAGGUUCAAAUGCAAAACUAUUAGAUUUUAAAUUAGAUCUGAAAUUUCAAUCUGAAAUAACAC